Molecule: ribosomal RNA, 490 nt
Filed under: uncultured bacterium
Lineage: Bacteria
Description: partial 16S ribosomal RNA
Rfam family: Bacterial small subunit ribosomal RNA
Source: RNAcentral
AUUGAACGCUGGCGGCAGGCCUAACACAUGCAAGUCGAACGGUAACAGGAAGCAGCUUGCUGCUUCGCUGACGAGUGGCGGACGGGUGAGUAAUGUCUGGGAAGCUGCCUGAUGGAGGGGGAUAACUACUGGAAACGGUAGCUAAUACCGCAUAAUGUCGCAAGACCAAAGAGGGGGACCUUCGGGCCUCUUGCCAUCGGAUGUGCCCAGAUGGGAUUAGCUUGUUGGUGGGGUAACGGCUCACCAAGGCGACGAUCCCUAGCUGGUCUGAGAGGAUGACCAGCCACACUGGGACUGAGACACGGUCCAGACUCCUACGGGAGGCAGCAGUGGGGAAUAUUGCACAAUGGGCGCAAGCCUGAUGCAGCCAUGCCGCGUGUAUGAAGAAGGCCUUCGGGUUGUAAAGUACUUUCAGCGGGGAGGAAGGGAGUAAAGUUAAUACCUUUGCUCAUCGACGUUACCCGCAGAAGAAGCACCGGCUAACUCCGUG